Herpailurus yagouaroundi (jaguarundi) is the source of this 133-nucleotide long non-coding RNA. RefSeq lists it as uncharacterized. NCBI's taxonomy places the organism in Eukaryota, Metazoa, Chordata, Mammalia, Carnivora, Felidae. The record is from RefSeq and is a predicted model, not a curated record. The transcript is spliced from 3 exons.
AAUCUUUGUCUUCAACUUUUAACGUUUUAAGUACAGUGUGUCUCAGUGUGGAUGUCUUUGGGUUCAUAAUAUUUGGAACUGUGUGCUUCCUGAAUCUCAAGGUCUGUUUCCUUCCCCGGAUCUCAAGGUCUGU